This 468-nucleotide ribosomal RNA is filed under the name uncultured bacterium. RNAcentral's name for it is "partial 16S ribosomal RNA". It matches the Rfam family "Bacterial small subunit ribosomal RNA", at positions 28 to 507 of the family's 1533-position model. The record is from RNAcentral.
GAUGAACGCUGGCGGCGUGCUUAACACAUGCAAGUCGAACGGAAAGGCUCCUGCUUGCAGGGGUACUCGAGUGGCGAACGGGUGAGUAACACGUGGGUGAUCUGCCCUGUACUUCGGGAUAAGCUUGGGAAACUGGGUCUAAUACCGGAUAGGACAACUUUUUGGAUAUUGUUGUGGAAAGCUUUUGCGGUAUGGGAUGAGCUCGCGGCCUAUCAGCUUGUUGGUGGGGUAAUGGCCUACCAAGGCGUCGACGGGUAGCCGGCCUGAGUGGGUGUACGGCCACAGUGGGACUGAGAUACGGCCCAGACUCCUACGGGAGGCAGCAGGGGGGAAUAUUGCACAAUGGGCGCAAGCCUGAUGCAGCGACGCCGCGUGGGGGAUGAAGGCCUUCGGGUUGUAAACUCCUUUCGCUAGGGACGAAGCUUUUUUGUGACGGUACCUGGAGAAGAAGCACCGGCUAACUACGUG